RNAcentral lists this ribosomal RNA (460 nucleotides) under uncultured bacterium. RNAcentral's name for it is "partial 16S ribosomal RNA". It matches the Rfam family "Bacterial small subunit ribosomal RNA", at positions 338 to 795 of the family's 1533-position model. The record is from RNAcentral.
CCUACGGGAGGCAGCAGUGAGGAAUAUUGGUCAAUGGACGCAAGUCUGAACCAGCCAUGCCGCGUGCAGGAAGACGGCUCUAUGAGUUGUAAACUGCUUUUGUACGAGGGUAAACGCAGAUACGUGUAUCUGUCUGAAAGUAUCGUACGAAUAAGGAUCGGCUAACUCCGUGCCAGCAGCCGCGGUAAUACUGAGGAUUCAAGCGUUAUCCGGAUUUAUUGGGUUUAAAGGGUGCGUAGGCGGUCGUAUAAGUUAGAGGUUAAAUCCCGAGGCUCAACUUCUGUACGGCACUGGAUACUUGCGAGCUAGAAGGAGGUAGAGGUAACGGGAAUUCCUGGUGUAGCGGUGAAAUGCUUAGAUAUCAGGAGGAACAUCGGUGGCGUAAGCGCUUUACUGGGCCGUAAUUGACGCUGAGGAACGAAAGCCAGGGUAGCAAAUGGGAUUAGAUACCCGAGUAGUC